AACAAUUUCUGGAGGAUCUAAUUAACCAAACAGGAAAUACAUAGAAUGUACUGACAUCAGGGGGUUAUUUAACAAAUGGCCAGAGAUCAUCCCACAGUGGAAUUCCAAACCAACAAACUCCGCCCAUGUGCUCAAUGCGCCUAAUCAAUGUUUAGUGUCCCUUUUCAACAAGAGCAAAGAUUAACAGGCAUCUCCGCAAAACUUGUAACCAGAAAGAAAAGACCAAACAAACAAGCAGAUAAAAGUAAUUUGGAGGAAAGAAAGAUAAUGCAGGAAAAGGAAAAUUUCUAAAUCACUAUCAUUAAUAUACUCAAAAAGAAAAGAGAAGAUCUUUCCUUGCUAUUUUUUAAAUAAAGGCACAUGCAGAGUCAAAACAGAGCCUGUAGAAUAUGAAAACCAUAAUAGAGAAAUGAAAAAUUCAGUAAGAAGAUUGGAAGUUAAAGUUGACGAAAUCUCCCAGAAACUAAGGGGAAAACCCAAAGAGAUGCAAGGUAUCAUCGUAACUCAUGAACCUGAGAUUCAAAACCGGGCCUGUCUGACUCCCAAGAUGUUGCUCUUAACUAUCGUGUGCAAAUCGGAAAACUCUCAGCCUCCACGGUUCCUCCCAGAGUUUCCUCCCAAGGUCUCCUCAGUUCCCUGGCUAGGGAUGCUGACGGAAAACCCAGCACCCUCCUCGGCCUUCCUGGAAGUCUUUGAGGAGAGGGGAGGAGCAAGCACGUUCCCAAGACCAGAGAGGUUCCCUCAUGCCUAUCAGCUAAUCAGAUUUUGUGUGAUGCCUGGAACUCCUAAUUCACCUUGCAGCCAGAGGGAGGAGGUAACAUCAAAGACAACAUACACAGGGACCCGGAAAAAAAAAAAAAAACAGGAUUCUUACGACAUUGUCAAGUUGCUGAAUGAGAACAUAUCCGACCUCUCAACGUAUUUCACUUUAGGUUUUUAAAAAGAUUUAUUUAUUUAUUUUAGGGGGGAGCACAUGGAGGGAGGAGCAGAGGGAGAUGAAGAGAAAAAAUCUCAAGCGGACUCCCCACCACGCAGAGCCCAACAUGGGGCUCGAUCCCAUGACCCGGAGAUCAUGAAGGAGUCAGAUGAAGCUGAAAGAGUGAGAUGCUCCAACGACUGAGUCACCCAGGAGCUCCUCUAAACUUAUGUUUUUAGGGCGCCUGGGUGGCUCAGUUGGUUGGACGACUGCCUUCGGCUCAGGUCAUGAUCCUGGAGUCCUAGAAUCGAGUCCCGCAUCGGGCUCCCAGCAUCAUGGGGAGUCUGCUUCUCCCUCUGACCUUCUCAUCGCUCAUGUUCUCUCUCACUGUCUCUCUCU
RNAcentral lists this long non-coding RNA (1315 nucleotides) under Mustela putorius furo (domestic ferret). RNAcentral's name for it is "lncRNA (ENSMPUG00000024254.1)". Lineage: Eukaryota; Metazoa; Chordata; Mammalia; Carnivora; Mustelidae. The record is from RNAcentral.